Molecule: unclassified non-coding RNA, 253 nt
Filed under: Hevea brasiliensis (rubber tree)
Lineage: Eukaryota; Viridiplantae; Streptophyta; Magnoliopsida; Malpighiales; Euphorbiaceae
Source: RNAcentral
CAGAUUCUUUUUGUUCUUUGUAGGCCUGGAGGAAUCAAAGAAUCCAACCUUCGAUUUUAGGACCCAAACUUAUCCUAUUUUUCUUAUAAAGAAAUACUCCAGAAAAGGUGAAUCAAAUCAUCUAUCUUAUUAAAAUGAAGAUAAACUGCUCCCACGAUUGAAAUUCUUCUCUGGAAAUUGAACCAAAAAGAGACAUACAUGUGUGAGAUUAUCCACUUACAAGGGAAUCUAAGGCUCCCAGUUUCAAACACAG